UGUGACAUUUCCCUUGGGUAUUCUACACC
Molecule: non-coding RNA, 29 nt
Filed under: Rattus norvegicus (Norway rat)
Lineage: Eukaryota; Metazoa; Chordata; Mammalia; Rodentia; Muridae
Source: RNAcentral